RNAcentral lists this long non-coding RNA (308 nucleotides) under Nicotiana benthamiana. RNAcentral's name for it is "long non-coding RNA (NBEN_LNC014785)". The record is from RNAcentral. Lineage: Eukaryota; Viridiplantae; Streptophyta; Magnoliopsida; Solanales; Solanaceae.
GUGCUGCAUCGUUUAUAGCACCUGAGUACAGAGGAAAUGACUCAUCAUCGUUCAUCGAAGAUGGAGCACUGAGAAGUGUGAGGGACAGAUCUGGUGCUAGUGGUCCAGAUAAUGUAUUAGGACACACCAACAAUGAUCUGCUUCAAGGAAACUAUGUCGGCCAAGCCUGUCAAACAACAAUGAUCUGCUUCAAGUAAACUAUGUCGGCCAAGCCUGUCAAUUUCCUGGAAAUUAUUGGUCAGGCUUGCAGUUCAACAGCAGCACUAGCGAGACUGAAUCUUGGGCCUGGAAUCGUAGUACUCGUCUAC